AAGCAUGACUGGAAUACAGCAGAUGCAACAGCAAAAGCAAAUGCAGCGGCCUGGCAGUGCUAUGAAGAGCACCCAAGCAUCCA
This 83-nucleotide non-coding RNA is filed under the name Aurantiochytrium limacinum. Lineage: Eukaryota; Bigyra; Thraustochytrida; Thraustochytriidae. The record is from RNAcentral.